UACGUAGGGGGCAAGCGUUGUCCGGAUUUAUUGGGCGUAAAGAGCGUGUAGGCGGCCAGAUAGGUCAGCUGUGAAAACUCGAGGCUCAACCUCGAGAUGUCGGCUGAAACCAUCUGGCUAGAGUCCGGAAGAGGAGAAUGGAAUUCCCGGUGUAGCGGUGAAAUGCGCAGAUAUCGGGAAGAACACCCGUGGCGAAGGCGGCGCUCUGGGCCGGAACUGACGCUGAGGAGCGAAAGCGUGGGUAGCAAACAGG
RNAcentral lists this ribosomal RNA (253 nucleotides) under uncultured bacterium. RNAcentral describes it as "partial 16S ribosomal RNA". It matches the Rfam family "Bacterial small subunit ribosomal RNA", at positions 524 to 776 of the family's 1533-position model. The record is from RNAcentral.